CUGCUAUGAUGAACAAAACUUGUGUCCUGAGAUGAUUCUUCAUCGCUGACGGUAUAACACAAUCCUCUAAGAAGUUCUGAGCUU
Molecule: non-coding RNA, 84 nt
Organism: Arabis alpina (gray rockcress)
Lineage: Eukaryota; Viridiplantae; Streptophyta; Magnoliopsida; Brassicales; Brassicaceae
Source: Rfam